Molecule: ribosomal RNA, 445 nt
Filed under: uncultured bacterium
Lineage: Bacteria
Description: partial 16S ribosomal RNA
Rfam family: Bacterial small subunit ribosomal RNA
Source: RNAcentral
GUGAGGAAUAUUGGACAAUGGGCGCAAGCCUGAUCCAGCCAUGCCGCGUGCAGGAAGACGCAUCUAUGGUGUGUAAACUGCUUUUGUACGGGAAGAAACACUCCCUCGUGAGGGAGCUUGACGGUACCGUAAGAAUAAGGAUCGGCUAACUCCGUGCCAGCAGCCGCGGUAAUACGGAGGAUCCAAGCGUUAUCCGGAAUCAUUGGGUUUAAAGGGUCCGUAGGCGGUUUAAUAAGUCAGUGGUGAAAGCCCAUCGCUCAACGAUGGAACGGCCAUUGAUACUGUUAGACUUGAAUUACAAGGAAGUAACUAGAAUAUGUAGUGUAGCGGUGAAAUGCUUAGAUAUUACAUGGAAUACCAAUUGCGAAGGCAGGUUACUACUUGUGGAUUGACGCUGAUGGACGAAAGCGUGGGGAGCGAACAGGAUUAGAUACCCGUGUAGACC